Molecule: ribosomal RNA, 33 nt
Filed under: Dothiorella viticola
Lineage: Eukaryota; Fungi; Ascomycota; Dothideomycetes; Botryosphaeriales; Botryosphaeriaceae
Description: partial 18S ribosomal RNA
Source: RNAcentral
AAGUCCGUAGGUGAACCUGCGGAAGGAUCAUUA